RNAcentral lists this ribosomal RNA (497 nucleotides) under uncultured bacterium. RNAcentral describes it as "partial 16S ribosomal RNA". It matches the Rfam family "Bacterial small subunit ribosomal RNA", at positions 28 to 507 of the family's 1533-position model. The record is from RNAcentral.
GAUGAACGCUGGCGGCGUGCCUAAUACAUGCAAGUCGAGCGAACAGAUGAGGAGCUUGCUCCUCUGACGUUAGCGGCGGACGGGUGAGUAACACGUGGAUAACCUACCUAUAAGACUGGGAUAACUUCGGGAAACCGGAGCUAAUACCGGAUAAUAUAUUGAACCGCAUGGUUCAAUAGUGAAAGACGGUUUUGCUGUCACUUAUAGAUGGAUCCGCGCCGCAUUAGCUAGUUGGUAAGGUAACGGCUUACCAAGGCGACGAUGCGUAGCCGACCUGAGAGGGUGAUCGGCCACACUGGAACUGAGACACGGUCCAGACUCCUACGGGAGGCAGCAGUAGGGAAUCUUCCGCAAUGGGCGAAAGCUUGACGGAGCAACGCCGCGUGAGUGAUGAAGGUCUUCGGAUCGUAAAACUCUGUUAUUAGGGAAGAACAAAUGUGUAAGUAACUAUGCACGUCUUGACGGUACCUAAUCAGAGAGCCACGGCUAACUACGUG